UACGUAGGCAGCAAGCGUUGUUCGGAGUUACUGGGCGUAAAGAGUGUGUAGGCGGUGCUCUAAGUUCGGUGUGAAAUCUCCCGGCUCAACUGGGAGGGUGCGCCGGAAACUGGAAUGCUUGAGCGUGGGAGAGGAAAGCGGAAUUCCUGGUGUAGCGGUGAAAUGCGUAGAUAUCAGGAGGAACACCUGCGGUGUAGACGGCUUUCUGGACCAUGCUGACGCUGAGACACGAAAGCGUGGGUAGCAAACAGG
RNAcentral lists this ribosomal RNA (252 nucleotides) under uncultured bacterium. RNAcentral's name for it is "partial 16S ribosomal RNA". It matches the Rfam family "Bacterial small subunit ribosomal RNA", at positions 524 to 776 of the family's 1533-position model. The record is from RNAcentral.